RNAcentral lists this non-coding RNA (467 nucleotides) under Arabidopsis thaliana (thale cress). Lineage: Eukaryota; Viridiplantae; Streptophyta; Magnoliopsida; Brassicales; Brassicaceae. The record is from RNAcentral.
GAACCUUCAGAUUUCAGAUUUGAUUAGGGUUUUAGCGUCUUCGGACCAGGCUUCAUUCCCCCCAAUUGUUGCUCCCUGUUUACUCCAUAUUUCUUCCUUCUUUUCAAAUUAGGGUUUCAGAUCCAGUGGAUGAACCCUUGUUAAAGGUUUGAUCUCUUACCUUACUUUCUCAGAUUCAUUUACAUGCGUUAUUGAUUGUUUGCAUGGAAAGAAAUAGUUUUCUUUUUUAAAUAGGUCUUUGGGGACCGAUAGAAAAAAAAAGUUUUCAGGUAUUUGCAGAUUGGUGUAAUGAUGAAAGAAUCUGACUUUCUUUCUCCUCUUGGAAUCUGAAAAGUUUCAUCAUGACAAACUUUUUAUACAUGUGUUUGUAUUUUUGAACUUUUCUACAUUGCUAUGAUUUUGCUAUGAUUGUUUCUUUUUGGAUCUUCAUGGUAUUGAAUGAUGAUGACGAUGAUAGUUUUUAUUCA